AGUCGAACGGUAGCACAGAGAGCUUGCUCUCGGGUGACGAGUGGCGGACGGGUGAGUAAUGUCUGGGAAACUGCCUGAUGGAGGGGGAUAACUACUGGAAACGGUAGCUAAUACCGCAUAACGUCGCAAGACCAAAGUGGGGGACCUUCGGGCCUCAUGCCAUCAGAUGUGCCCAGAUGGGAUUAGCUUGUAGGUGGGGUAACGGCUCACCUAGGCGACGAUCCCUAGCUGGUCUGAGAGGAUGACCAGCCACACUGGAACUGAGACACGGUCCAGACUCCUACGGGAGGCAGCAGUGGGGAAUAUUGCACAAUGGGCGCAAGCCUGAUGCGGCCAUGCCGCGUGUAUGAAGAAGGCCUUCGGGUUGUAAAGUACUUUCAGUGAGGAGGAAGGCGAUAAGGUUAAUAACCUUGUCGAUUGACGUUACUCGCAGAAGAAGCACCGGCUAACUCCGUGCCAGCAGCCGCGGUAAUACGGAGGGUGCAAGCGUUAAUCGGAAUUACUGGGCGUAAAGCGCACGCAGGCGGUCUGUCAAGUCGGAUGUGAAAUCCCCGGGCUCAACCUGGGAACUGCAUCCGAAACUGGCAGGCUAGAGUCUUGUAGAGGGGGGUAGAAUUCCAGGUGUAGCGGUGAAAUGCGUAGAGAUCUGGAGGAAUACCGGUGGCGAAGGCGGCCCCCUGGACAAAGACUGACGCUCAGGUGCGAAAGCGUGGGGAGCAAACAG
RNAcentral lists this ribosomal RNA (724 nucleotides) under uncultured bacterium. RNAcentral's name for it is "bacterial SSU rRNA". It matches the Rfam family "Bacterial small subunit ribosomal RNA", at positions 60 to 775 of the family's 1533-position model. The record is from RNAcentral.